This 73-nucleotide transfer RNA is filed under the name Acanthisitta chloris (rifleman). It matches the Rfam family "tRNA". From Rfam's summary of the family: Transfer RNA (tRNA) molecules are approximately 80 nucleotides in length. Their secondary structure includes four short double-helical elements and three loops (D, anti-codon, and T loops). Further hydrogen bonds mediate the characteristic L-shaped molecular structure. tRNAs have two regions of fundamental functional importance: the anti-codon, which is responsible for specific mRNA codon recognition, and the 3' end, to which the tRNAs corresponding amino acid is attached (by aminoacyl-tRNA synthetases). tRNAs cope with the degeneracy of the genetic code in two manners: having more than one tRNA (with a specific anti-codon) for a particular amino acid; and 'wobble' base-pairing, i.e. permitting non-standard base-pairing at the 3rd anti-codon position. The record is from Rfam by way of RNAcentral. Lineage: Eukaryota; Metazoa; Chordata; Aves; Passeriformes; Acanthisittidae.
GGGGAUGUAGCUCAGCUGGAGAGCACUUGCUUGGCAUGCUAAGAGGUGCAGGGAUCAACCCCCAGCAUCUCCA